AAAUUGAAGAGUUUGAUCAUGGCUCAGAUUGAACGCUGGCGGCAGGCCUAACACAUGCAAGUCGAACGGUAGCACAGAGAGCUUGCUCUCGGGUGACGAGUGGCGGACGGGUGAGUAAUGUCUGGGAAACUGCCCGAUGGAGGGGGAUAACUACUGGAAACGGUAGCUAAUACCGCAUAACGUCGCAAGACCAAAGUGGGGGACCUUCGGGCCUCACACCAUCGGAUGUGCCCAGAUGGGAUUAGCUAGUAGGUGGGGUAACGGCUCACCUAGGCGACGAUCCCUAGCUGGUCUGAGAGGAUGACCAGCCACACUGGAACUGAGACACGGUCCAGACUCCUACGGGAGGCAGCAGUGGGGAAUAUUGCACAAUGGGCGCAAGCCUGAUGCAGCCAUGCCGCGUGUAUGAAGAAGGCCUUCGGGUUGUAAAGUACUUUCAGCGAGGAGGAAGGCGUUGUGGUUAAUAACCACAGCGAUUGACGUUACUCGCAGAAGAAGCACCGGCUAACUCCGUGCCAGCAGCCGCGGUAAUACGGAGGGUGCAAGCGUUAAUCGGAAUUACUGGGCGUAAAGCGCACGCAGGCGGUUUGUUAAGUCAGAUGUGAAAUCCCCGGGCUCAACCUGGGAACUGCAUUUGAAACUGGCAAGCUUGAGUCUCGUAGAGGGGGGUAGAAUUCCAGGUGUAGCGGUGAAAUGCGUAGAGAUCUGGAGGAAUACCGGUGGCGAAGGCGGCCCCCUGGACAAAGACUGACGCUCAGGUGCGAAAGCGUGGGGAGCAAACAGGAUUAGAUACCCUGGUAGUCCACGCCGUAAACGAUGUCUACUUGGAGGUUGUGCCCUUGAGGCGUGGCUUCCGGAGCUAACGCGUUAAGUAGACCGCCUGGGGAGUACGGCCGCAAGGUUAAAACUCAAAUGAAUUGACGGGGGCCCGCACAAGCGGUGGAGCAUGUGGUUUAAUUCGAUGCAACGCGAAGAACCUUACCUGGUCUUGACAUCCACGGAAGUUUUCAGAGAUGAGAAUGUGCCUUCGGGAACCGUGAGACAGGUGCUGCAUGGCUGUCGUCAGCUCGUGUUGUGAAAUGUUGGGUUAAGUCCCGCAACGAGCGCAACCCUUAUCCUUU
This 1121-nucleotide ribosomal RNA is filed under the name Salmonella enterica. Its description in RNAcentral is "partial 16S ribosomal RNA". It matches the Rfam family "Bacterial small subunit ribosomal RNA", at positions 1 to 1113 of the family's 1533-position model. RNAcentral also lists the same sequence under 1 other name. Lineage: Bacteria; Pseudomonadati; Pseudomonadota; Gammaproteobacteria; Enterobacterales; Enterobacteriaceae. The record is from RNAcentral.